GACGAACGCUGGCGGCGUGGAUUAGGCAUGCAAGUCGAACGGUAUCAUCCUUCGGGGUGAGAGAGUGGCGAACUGGUGAGUAACACGUAGGUUAUCUACCCUCAAGACGGGACAACCCAGGGAAACUUGGGCUAAUACCGGAUGUGAGCAACUUUUAGUUGUUUGAAAGGUGGCGUAAGCUGUCGCUUGGGGAUGAGCCUGCGUCCUAUUAGUUAGUUGGUGAGGUAACGGCUCACCUAGGCAAUGAUAGGUAGGCGGCCUUAACGGGUGGUCGCCCACACUGGGAUUGAGAUACGGCCCAGACUCCUACGGGAGGCAGCAGUCGAGAAUAGUCUACAAUGGUCGGAAGACUGAUAGUGCGACGCCGCGUGAACGAUGAAUCCCUUCGGGGUGUAAAGUUCUUUUAUAUGUGAGCAGUGCUUCUUAUAUUAACAGUAUGGGGAGAGAGAUAUUAGCAUAUGAAUAAGCAACGGCUAACUCCGUG
Molecule: ribosomal RNA, 484 nt
Filed under: uncultured bacterium
Lineage: Bacteria
Description: bacterial SSU rRNA
Rfam family: Bacterial small subunit ribosomal RNA
Source: RNAcentral